This is a non-coding RNA of Acanthosepion pharaonis, 112 nucleotides long. Lineage: Eukaryota; Metazoa; Mollusca; Cephalopoda; Sepiida; Sepiidae. The record is from the annotation of a GenBank genome assembly.
AGGCCAUAUCAUGUUGAAACCUCGACACUCAUAUGAUCACCGAAGUUAAGCAGCGUUUGAUCCUGGUCAGUACGUGGAUGGGUGACCGCUUCGAAAUACCAGGUGUUGUAAG